Molecule: ribosomal RNA, 253 nt
Filed under: uncultured bacterium
Lineage: Bacteria
Description: partial 16S ribosomal RNA
Rfam family: Bacterial small subunit ribosomal RNA
Source: RNAcentral
UACGUAGGGGGCAAGCGUUGUCCGGAAUCAUUGGGCGUAAAGCGCGCGUAGGCGGCCCGGUAAGUCCGCUGUAAAAGUCCAGGGCUCAACCCUGGAAAGCCGGUGGAUACUGUCGGGCUCGAGUCCGGAAGAGGCGAGUGGAAUUCCUGGUGUAGCGGUGGAAUGCGCAGAUAUCAGGAAGAACACCUAUGGCGAAGGCAGCUCUCUGGGACGGUACUGACGCUGAGACGCGAAAGCGUGGGGAGCGAACAGG